CUCUUAGCCAGUUCUAAUUUUUGUUCAGGUGGAAGAUGGAUGCCUGAAGUGUAGACUGCUGCUAGCUGAAUACCAUCUGGGAGCAUAAAGGUGACCUGAAGGAUGUCCUUGGUGAGGAUUUUGAAAAUUUGAUCUUCACAAGAGUUGCCUGGAUCAUUUGAAAUUUCUGGGAGUCUGAGGAGUACUGACAUAAUUACCUGCUGGAGUCUGUAAAUACACAUUUAAGACAGUGAGGAUGUGAAUAAAUAUAUUAAUGCACUUUGGCA
Molecule: long non-coding RNA, 266 nt
Filed under: Homo sapiens (human)
Lineage: Eukaryota; Metazoa; Chordata; Mammalia; Primates; Hominidae
Description: non-protein coding EPB41L4A-AS1:7
Source: RNAcentral